Molecule: long non-coding RNA, 1046 nt
Organism: Paramisgurnus dabryanus
Lineage: Eukaryota; Metazoa; Chordata; Actinopteri; Cypriniformes; Cobitidae
Source: RefSeq, a predicted model, not a curated record
GUAAAAAAUCCAACUCGCAAAAAGUUUAAACAACUAUUUUUUAUUAGUUAACUGGACAAUAAAACAAAAAAAAGUUGACUUAACAAGUGGGAAUAAGUUGGUUCAAAAAUUGUAUAACCAACUUACAUUUAACCGUUGACUGGAUAUACACAUGCAAGUUUAAAAGCACACAAGUUGUUUUUGGUUGUUGGCGCAUGCGCACUGUAGCCUAUGUGGACGUUGGAGCUCAUGUGGAUUGUGGAAUAGCGCCAAACUUCAUCGUUUAAAGUAAGUAUAUUUUUCUGUGUAUUUGAAACUGAAUUUAAGUAAUGUAAUAGCGCUGUGCAAUCUUAUUUUAAAGCAAGUUUUCAUGAAAUAACUAAUCAAGGAGAAAAUAUGUUGGAAUACCGGUUUUAUAUCUUGCAAAUCUUAAACUUAAUGUUUUCAAAUCCUCGCUAUAUCCAACACAGUUAUUGGAAAUAAUGUGCGAUUCGUCUCAUAGACUUAACUCAAAAUGUAAUUGUGUUGUUUUACAUCAUAAAAACGUCAUUGCAGCUCACGUGGAAUGAUAGCGCCUUGCACGAACAGGACAAACGUAACGUUAAUCUUCUCAAAUUUCAUCGUUAGAAGUAAGUAUCUUUAUUCUGUGUGUUUUGAAACUGAAGUCCUAUUUAAUAAAUGUAACGUUAAUGUCACUGGGCUAACGUCAACGUAUUUUAAAGCAAGUUUGCAUGAAAGAGCUAAUCAAGGAGAAACUGUCGCAAUCCCGGUUUUAUAUCUUGCAAAUCUAACGUAAUGUUUUUAAAUCUUGGCUAUAUCUAACACAGUUAUUAGAAAUAAUGUGCGAUUUGUCACAUAAACUUGACUUAAUGUUUAUUGCAUCACAGAAAACUCUGUUGGAGCUCACGUGGAAUGGUGGCAUUUUGAUCUUCAGUAAAACGUGCAGCACGAGUUUGCAACAAACUUCAUCGUUUAAAAAAACUCUGUUGGAGCUCACGUGGAAUGGUGGCAUUUUGAUCUUCAGUAAAACGUGCAGCACGAGAUCGCGACAAACUUCAUCGUUUAAA